GCGCAACAACUUCCACCUGGCUUACCUUUUCAGUCUUGUGUCAUUGCUUGUAUCGCAUUGAAUGCAUGGUGGGUUUCNUGGGUUGCAAGCCUAAUUGAUGGUAUCAUUUGAAGAAUUGAUGACCCUUUUCAUCUUGUGUCGCACAUGCGAUGUGAGAUGAACCUUGAAGUAGCCUUUGUGAUCCACUCUUUCGAUGUACACGCAUUGAUUUUGUGGCCCACUGUGCGUUGCUUGUUCUCAUGGAUAUGGAACCUGGUGUGGGCAUGGGAUCUUUUCCUUGUUUGCCCUGGUUUAGCUUUUCUAAUACGAUUGUUUAUCACAUUUUAAUGUGGUAGGCUAUAUCGGAUAUGAAUGCUACCUGGUUGAUCCUGCC
RNAcentral lists this unclassified non-coding RNA (373 nucleotides) under Leontopodium franchetii. RNAcentral's name for it is "partial contains external transcribed spacer and 18S ribosomal RNA". Lineage: Eukaryota; Viridiplantae; Streptophyta; Magnoliopsida; Asterales; Asteraceae. The record is from RNAcentral.